AGGUUGUUGCAAAAGUAAUUGUGGUUUUUGACAUUACUUUUAAUUGCAGUAAAACCCGCAAUUACUUUUGCACCAACC
Molecule: microRNA precursor, 78 nt
Filed under: Saimiri boliviensis boliviensis (Bolivian squirrel monkey)
Lineage: Eukaryota; Metazoa; Chordata; Mammalia; Primates; Cebidae
Description: miRNA (ENSSBOG00000015009.1)
Source: RNAcentral